This 1087-nucleotide ribosomal RNA is filed under the name Aliivibrio sp. BL2. RNAcentral's name for it is "bacterial SSU rRNA". It matches the Rfam family "Bacterial small subunit ribosomal RNA", at positions 378 to 1457 of the family's 1533-position model. The record is from RNAcentral. Lineage: Bacteria; Pseudomonadati; Pseudomonadota; Gammaproteobacteria; Vibrionales; Vibrionaceae.
AAAGCCUGAUGCAGCCAUGCCGCGUGUAUGAAGAAGGCCUUCGGGUUGUAAAGUACUUUCAGUAGGGAGGAAGGUGCUGUAGUUAAUAGCUGCAGCAUUUGACGUUACCUACAGAAGAAGCACCGGCUAACUCCGUGCCAGCAGCCGCGGUAAUACGGAGGGUGCGAGCGUUAAUCGGAAUUACUGGGCGUAAAGCGCAUGCAGGUGGUUCAUUAAGUCAGAUGUGAAAGCCCGGGGCUCAACCUCGGAACCGCAUUUGAAACUGGUGAACUAGAGUGCUGUAGAGGGGGGUAGAAUUUCAGGUGUAGCGGUGAAAUGCGUAGAGAUCUGAAGGAAUACCAGUGGCGAAGGCGGCCCCCUGGACAGACACUGACACUCAGAUGCGAAAGCGUGGGGAGCAAACAGGAUUAGAUACCCUGGUAGUCCACGCCGUAAACGAUGUCUACUUGGAGGUUGUUCCCUUGAGGAGUGGCUUUCGGAGCUAACGCGUUAAGUAGACCGCCUGGGGAGUACGGUCGCAAGAUUAAAACUCAAAUGAAUUGACGGGGGCCCGCACAAGCGGUGGAGCAUGUGGUUUAAUUCGAUGCAACGCGAAGAACCUUACCUACUCUUGACAUCCAGAGAAUUCGCUAGAGAUAGCUUAGUGCCUUCGGGAGCUCUGAGACAGGUGCUGCAUGGCUGUCGUCAGCUCGUGUUGUGAAAUGUUGGGUUAAGUCCCGCAACGAGCGCAACCCUUAUCCUUGUUUGCCAGCACGUAAUGGUGGGAACUCCAGGGAGACUGCCGGUGAUAAACCGGAGGAAGGUGGGGACGACGUCAAGUCAUCAUGGCCCUUACGAGUAGGGCUACACACGUGCUACAAUGGCGCAUACAGAGGGCUGCAAGCUAGCGAUAGUGAGCGAAUCCCAAAAAGUGCGUCGUAGUCCGGAUUGGAGUCUGCAACUCGACUCCAUGAAGUCGGAAUCGCUAGUAAUCGUAGAUCAGAAUGCUACGGUGAAUACGUUCCCGGGCCUUGUACACACCGCCCGUCACACCAUGGGAGUGGGCUGCAAAAGAAGUGGGUAGUUUAACCUUCGGGAGGACGCUCAC